Molecule: ribosomal RNA, 253 nt
Filed under: uncultured bacterium
Lineage: Bacteria
Description: partial 16S ribosomal RNA
Rfam family: Bacterial small subunit ribosomal RNA
Source: RNAcentral
UACGUAGGGGGCGAGCGUUGUCCGGAUUUAUUGGGCGUAAAGAGCGUGUAGGCGGCCAGGUAGGUCUGCUGUGAAAACUCGAGGCUCAACCUCGAGACGUCGGCGGAAACCAUCUGGCUAGAGUCCGGAAGAGGAGAGUGGAAUUCCCAGUGUAGCGGUGAAAUGCGUAGAUAUCAGGAGGAACACCGAUGGCGAAGGCAGGUCUCUGGGCUGACACUGACGCUCAUGCACGAAAGCGUGGGGAGCAAACAGG